UCUACAUCUUACAAAAGAUCACACCAGGGCAUUACUGAUGUGGUCUCCUGUACAGCUCCAGUGAUCAAAGGCAUCUUUCCUCAGGCAGCCUUCCAAAUGCAAGGCCAUCAUACAAGAAAAAUAAGCAAAUAAAAUAACUGGAUUAGCACUGCACAAACAAAACCUAGGAAUUUUAAACGAACAGACAUAUGGAGGGGAAAAGAUUUACAAAGCUCUUCAAAACAAAAUAGAUAUGACUGAAAUGAUAGACAUCAUUGACCAUGGUGGAAGCACAUUGUCAUUGGCCAGAUUAUCCAAGUAAGAAUAUUAGAGGCCGAAACCAGCAUGUCUUCAAGAUUUACUGUGUAAUAUGCAUUGCUGUUCCUGUCCUCUCUUCACUUCUACCAAUGACUCUUCUAGAGCACUGCAACUGCUGGAACUGCAGAGAAAAAUGUUUCCAACCCAUGUCAUGCACGAGCAAGAGGACUGAGAGGCAUCAUAAUGCUGCACUGUUCUGGGAACACAAGUAUUGCCAGCACUAGGAUUACGAUAGAUGGGAAUUAUGAAGACCAGCUGAUUCAAUGUAGGAUUUUCACUCUCAUCACAUCUCUGAACAUGCUCUUUUUGCAUGGCUCACAAGGUUCAUGUGAGGGACAGUACUGCAGUCCCAUUUGUCACUGUACUGUACUGCUGUGACUAAAGAUAGGAUUUUCACUAAUAUAAGAUUAUUUUUUUCCCUGUAGCAACAGAAGACAUUGUAAAGAAAAUGGGAAUAAAGAAGGAACCUCCAACGUGAAAAGAGGUGAGAAGUGGACAGAAAUAAGUGAGUGGAAUAAGUUAGAAUGGGAAGUGGAAUGGUAAUAGUAUUAGAAAAGAGGAUGAUUUGGGUAUACAUGACUAGAAAUGGAGAUAAUUAUACAUGUCUUAGAAAGGCCAGAGUAAGGGGGAUACCAGCAUUUAGACUCCAUCACAAAAGGUAAAGAGAAAUCUGGAAACUCUUUUUGACCAGUAUGCAGAUAAAUCACAGAAAAAGAAUGAGAAGUGUAAUUGGGAAGGAAAAUUCAGAAAAGCUAAAUAAGUCUAGAAAGCCUUUACUAUUGGUUUCUGAGUUGUAGAUGCUAAUGCUAUAGUGUGGAUCCUACUUUGGUCUUACUUUGAUUUUCAUUAUGUAGUAUCUUUCUGGCAUUCAUUACUUCAUUCUGGCACUGGAAAACAAAGAACACACACUUUGCUGCUGAUUCCAAUCCCUCCAUUUAUUCUGACUUUUGUCAGUUUUCAUAUUUAUGCACUGUCUUUGUGCACUGCUGUACAGUCUUACCAGAAACCUUAUGGCAACAUGCGAAAGAUCUUUCCAUAGAACUCUGCAUCCUAUUCUCCCUGAAAAAUCAAGACUUGAAUAUUUCUAUGUACACAUAUAUAACAAGGCCUAUCUGACUGAUGUAAGAAAGAAAGGUAAUGAGAAGUCAACAUCUGAGUCCUGGUAGACUCUGGCAGUUCUACAAGAAUGACUGAUUUGUUUCUUGAAGGGCAGAAGGUCAUGAACAAACAGAAGAUGGAUGAGAAGAAGGAUAGAAGACAAUUUAAUACCACAUAUUAAAUACUACAUAUUUAAUUCCACAUAUCAGAGGAAUUAUACACAUUGAUUCCCCAGGAGAGAGAGGAAGAAAUGUAGGUAGAUUCAAGAGUUUCUGCAAAAGCAUUCAUCAAGCUGGAAACACAAGAGGACAGAGCAGAUGACCUUCCAGAGUGCAGGGUGAGAACACACAGCUGAGGGAGAUAACAGGAGGAACAAUGUGUGCUGAUAGAUUAAACAGUACAGAACUUAUUAAUUAAGUGGGAUUUGUAAUAUUGCACAAUGGCAUUGCUGCAGGCAAAAUAGAGAGCAAUUUCUUGAAAGGUGUGAUCAGCAAGUGGGGAUUUUCUUGGAUUUUUAACUUUAAUUGUGCUAUACUAUUUUUGUGUCAGGGGAGACAGCACAGAUCACAAUUGACCAUCCUCAGUAAAAUAGCAGAAGAUACAGUGCUCAAGUGUUGUGGGUUAACCCUGGCUGGCAGCUCAGCCUUGCACUUGCUUGCUCACCCCAGUGGAAUGGGAGGGAGAAUUGGAAGCGUAAAAUUGAGAACACCUGGGGGUUGAGAUAGGGACAGUUUAAUAGGAAAAGAGAAAGCAAAAUCUGUUUAUGCAAGCAAAGUAAGGAAUUAAUUCACUGGCAGGCAGCCGUUUAGCCAUUUUAGCCAUGCUAGCCAUGGCAGCUGUUUAGCAUUUUAGCCAUGUUAGCUAUUUAACCAUGUUUAGCCAAGAGAGAAGGGCUCUAUCAUGCAUAACACAUACUUGGGAAGACAAAUGCUGUAACACUGAAAACCCCUCCCACCUUUUCUCCUUCUUUCCUCAGCUUCUUAUUACUGAAUACAACAUCACAUGGCAUGGAAUAUUCCUUUUGUCAAUUGAGGCCAGCUGUCAUGGCUGUGUCCCCUCUUCUUGUGUACCCCCAGCCUAAUUGCUGUCUGGGCGAGGGUGAAAAAUCGCAGAAUCAGGGAACGAGUUGGAAGGGACCACAGUGGGUUAUCUGGCCCAACCUCCCUGUUGAAGCAGGGUUAUCCCAGGACUGUGUCCAGAACAUUCUUGAAUAUCUCCAGGGAGGGAGACUCCAUGACCUCUCUGGGAAAUCUGUUAUGGUGCUUGGUCACUGCACAGUAAAUAAGUUCUUUCUCAUGUUGAAGUGGAACUUCCUGGGCAUCAGUUUCUGCCCAUUGCCUUUUGCCCUAUUGCUUGGCACAACCAAAAAGUGUUUGAUGCUGUGUAAGCACUGAAUAGCAAUAGCUAAAACACUGUUGUGUUAUCAAUACUGUUUUGGUCACAAAUGCAAAAGAUAGCAGCCUACCAGCUGACAUGAAGAAAAUUAAGUCUACUCCAACCAAAAUCAGCACUCCAAGGAAAUGAAGUACUUCUUGUAGUGAUUUAGUGUCCAUGAAAUGUAAUGUCUUCGUUUAUCAUGAGACUCAGCUCAGUGAAAAAACGGGGUCUCACCAUGUAAUCUUUUUACCACAAAACAUAGGAACUUAUUUAAGAGUGAACUUAGCAAACAAAGGAUGAGGAGAGGAAACUUAAACAUCUGCAUGCACAAAGACUGGCAAAAUUCUGCCCUUACUUUUUGAGCAUGCUUUUUCUGGUGAUCUCUAGGAAGCUCUCUGUCACACAAACAGAGCUUCCCUUUCAAUAUGGGUCUGGAACUGCCACUGUCAAUACUGCCAGCUUGCAGGGCAGUGAUUGUCACGUAAUGGGGGAAAUGGCUAAAGCAAAACCAACCCCUUAGCACUUCUCCCCUCUGCAUUUGACUUCAGGGAUGCCUUGGAUGAGUGCUCAAAGAUUAUAUAACCUGGCAGCAGCUCUUUAGGCUGGUUUGUGUGUCUACAAUAUCUGCUACAGCUUGCUCUGAAUAAAAUGGAUGAACUUGUUCCGAGUUAUUUAAAUACUGCUGUCAUGUAUAGAUUCUCUCAGAAGCCAGGAAUCAUCAAAAGUUCACAUUUUUUUCUAAUUAAAACAGUUUGCAAUAAUUAAAUGUAUGUGUCUGUGUUUCUACUUCAAAAUGGCUAAAUAGUUGGCAAGUCUCCUAAAGCAGGAUUAGACUGCAGACCAGCUCAGACAAUGCUUCCAGGCAUCGAGGAUGUACUGCAGAAUCAGUUUAAUAAAGUCUGAUUAGAUUACUUUCUCCGGUCAAUUUGAAGCAGUGUGGCCAUGGGAUAAAUCAUCUUUUUAUCUCACCACACUGCUCUUUUUCUUUGCUGAAUCAUAGUUUAAAAACAUCAAACAUAUUUUUUAAAUAUCUAUUUAUUUACAGAUGCAAAGAAGCAUAACCUCAUGAAUUCCCUGUUGUCCCAAUGCAGUUUGAUAUUAUAUCUCAGUUUUAAAGACUGACUCUGUACUCAGGUUUCCCUUCUUUAUAUGAGUUAUCUCUCUUUUUCCUCUACAUAAAUAGCCUUGUUAGUAUAAUAAGAAAACAGACCUGAAUCUCUUAUCUGGAUUUGUCAAAAUAACAGCUUGUACUGAAA
This is a long non-coding RNA of Pseudopipra pipra, 4028 nucleotides long. RefSeq lists it as uncharacterized. The transcript is spliced from 3 exons. NCBI's taxonomy places the organism in Eukaryota, Metazoa, Chordata, Aves, Passeriformes, Pipridae. The record is from RefSeq and is a predicted model, not a curated record.